ACAUGAAAAGGCCCGAGGACACAACCCUCCAACCCAGGAACCUGAGGAGGACUGGUCCUGUGAGUGUCCCCACCAUGGCCUGGAUGGUGCUCCUGCUCGGGCUCCUCACUUCCAGCUCAGGUGUGGAUUCUCAGACUGUGGUCACCCAGGAGCCAUCACUAUCUGUGUCUCCAGGAGGGACAGUCACACUCACCUGUGGCCUUAGCUCUGGGUCAGUCUCCAGUAGUAACUAUCCUGGCUGGUUCCAGCAGACCCCAGGCAAGGCCCCUCGAACACUCCUCUACACCACAAGCAGCCGGCCCUCUGGGGUCCCUGAGCGCUUUUCUGGAUCCAUCUCUGGGAACAAAGCCACCCUCACCAUCACAGGGGCCCAGCCUGAGGACGAGGCUGAGUACUCCUGUGUUCUGUGGCACAGCAGCCAUUACCACAGUGAGAGAUGA
Non-coding RNA from Phyllostomus hastatus (greater spear-nosed bat), 440 nucleotides. The record is from the annotation of a RefSeq genome assembly. Lineage: Eukaryota; Metazoa; Chordata; Mammalia; Chiroptera; Phyllostomidae.